GACGAACGCUGGCGGCGUGCUUAACACAUGCAAGUCGAGCGGUAGGGCCCUUUCGGGGGUACACGAGCGGCGAACGGGUGAGUAACACGUGGGUGACCUGCCCUCAGCUCUGGGAUAAGCCUGGGAAACCGGGUCUAAUACUGGAUAUGACUCCAUGACGCAUGUUGUGGGGUGGAAAGCCUUGUGCGGCUGAGGAUGGGCCCGCGGCCUAUCAGCUUGUUGGUGGGGUGANGGCCUACCAAGGCGACGACGGGUAGCCGGCCUGAGAGGGCGACCGGCCACACUGGGACUGAGACACGGCCCAGACUCCUACGGGAGGCAGCAGUGGGGAAUCUUGCGCAAUGGGCGAAAGCCUGACGCAGCGACGCCGCGUGAGGGAUGACGGCCU
This 388-nucleotide ribosomal RNA is filed under the name uncultured bacterium. Its description in RNAcentral is "bacterial SSU rRNA". It matches the Rfam family "Bacterial small subunit ribosomal RNA", at positions 28 to 417 of the family's 1533-position model. The record is from RNAcentral.